GGUAAAGUGGCUGAGAUGAUAGGCGAUAGAUUGUAAAUCUAUUUAUGGUUAAUGACAAACCCUUUAUCA
This 69-nucleotide transfer RNA is filed under the name Macracanthopsis nodipes. RNAcentral's name for it is "tRNA-Tyr". It matches the Rfam family "tRNA". Rfam says of the family: Transfer RNA (tRNA) molecules are approximately 80 nucleotides in length. Their secondary structure includes four short double-helical elements and three loops (D, anti-codon, and T loops). Further hydrogen bonds mediate the characteristic L-shaped molecular structure. tRNAs have two regions of fundamental functional importance: the anti-codon, which is responsible for specific mRNA codon recognition, and the 3' end, to which the tRNAs corresponding amino acid is attached (by aminoacyl-tRNA synthetases). tRNAs cope with the degeneracy of the genetic code in two manners: having more than one tRNA (with a specific anti-codon) for a particular amino acid; and 'wobble' base-pairing, i.e. permitting non-standard base-pairing at the 3rd anti-codon position. Lineage: Eukaryota; Metazoa; Arthropoda; Insecta; Hemiptera; Reduviidae. The record is from RNAcentral.